AUUGAACGCUGGCGGCAUGCCUAACACAUGCAAGUCGAACGCGAAAUCACCUUCGGGUGAAAGUAGAGUGGCGGACGGGUGAGUAACGCGUGGGAAUCUGCCCAGUAGUGGGGGAUAACUCGAGGAAACUCGAGCUAAUACCGCAUACGCCCCAUGGGGGAAAGGCUUCGGCCGCUAUUGGAUGAGCCCGCGUCAGAUUAGCUAGUUGGUAGGGUAAAGGCCUACCAAGGCAACGAUCUGUAGCUGGUCUGAGAGGACGAACAGCCACACUGGGACUGAGACACGGCCCAGACUCCUACGGGAGGCAGCAGUGGGGAAUAUUGGACAAUGGGCGAAAGCCUGAUCCAGCAAUGCCGCGUGUGUGAAGAAGGCCUGCGGGUUGUAAAGCACUUUCAGUUGGGAAGAU
This 406-nucleotide ribosomal RNA is filed under the name uncultured bacterium. RNAcentral describes it as "bacterial SSU rRNA". It matches the Rfam family "Bacterial small subunit ribosomal RNA", at positions 30 to 449 of the family's 1533-position model. The record is from RNAcentral.